GAGGGUAAUUGAAUAAUUUCACUUCAUUGGGCCCCGAUUGCAAGGGAGGUACACUCUAUCCCUCACUUGCACUUUAUUUUUCCUACGUGCUCCUAUGUGUUAUGAGAAUAUGCCUGUCUACUUCGCUUUCCUUACCUCUUUGCACGCAUUUACUUACUUUCUUUUAUUUAAGUUUUAUGGGGUAUGUGUACACCUCUUGGCUUGUAAUAGAUAGGGCUCGGAGAGCAUCUGGUCCAUUUCCCUUUCCCCUUUAUGCUUUCAUGGGGUAUGUGUACACCUCUUGGCUUGUAAUAGAUAGUGCUCGUAGAGCAUCUGGUCCAUUUCCCCUUCCCCUUGGUUGCUUGCUUUUGUUGUUACAUGUUUAAUUGCUUUAUUAGGCUCUUGCAUCUAGUCGAGCAUGCUAAAUGCUAUGUGCUAUGUGCUUACGAGUAUUUUGGCAUGUCUACUUGCUUUCAUAGCCAUGAAUGAAUGGAAUGGAUGAAUGUACGUCGCCACACUAGUCCAACGCUAGUUGUGGAUCAUUAUUUCAUUAGGAAUUCAUAGAAAGGGCUAGUCCAACGCUAGACCCAAUAGAAUUUUUCCUUUAUUUUUCAUUGAUGCAUUAUUUGCCUGUUCACUACAUAUCAUGCAUUUUUUCUUAGUUUUAUCACUUGGCAUGCUCCUCGGACCCCCUUUCCCCUCAUUUUAGGAUUUUUGCAUUUCAUGAUAGUUGUAGGGUCCAUUUGCUUGAGGGUCCCCUUCCGAUAAGGGAAACGAGCGAGUGUGGCUACUCGAUAGCCUUAGCACGCUAGUUUCGCCUUCUAAUCAAAGGGAAAAUCAAGUCACGAUUUAGGUCUCCCCGUACCCAAUAUGCAUGAAUUCCCUAGGCUCAUGCAUUCUCAAUCCACUCUAUCAUUACACUUUCACUUUUGUCUCAUUUGCACACAUGCACCUUUUUAUCACCCUCACUUGCACAUGAACACUUUUCCUCCCAUUUUUGCACACGUGCACCCUUGAGUUUCUUCGCUUGCACACGAACACUUUUAUCAUUAUUUGCACACAUGCACUUCAUAUUAUCAUUUCACAUACCGUACAUUGCCCACUCACGUGCACACUUUCAUUUACAUAUUUAUUUUCUUUUAUUACUUUUUCAAACUCAUGUCCUCACAUUGCACGCAUGCAUUUCAUUCAUUUGCAUCCCACUUGCAUUAUUCGUGACUUCUUCAAAAGAUUGAUAUUGGGCUUCACAAUUAAUGUGAUUGGCACCACUCAACCUUUGAAGGGAAAUUUCCCCC
This 1274-nucleotide long non-coding RNA is filed under the name Coffea arabica (coffee). RNAcentral's name for it is "long non-coding RNA (CARA_LNC004761)". The record is from RNAcentral. Lineage: Eukaryota; Viridiplantae; Streptophyta; Magnoliopsida; Gentianales; Rubiaceae.